RNAcentral lists this ribosomal RNA (481 nucleotides) under uncultured bacterium. RNAcentral describes it as "partial 16S ribosomal RNA". It matches the Rfam family "Bacterial small subunit ribosomal RNA", at positions 28 to 507 of the family's 1533-position model. The record is from RNAcentral.
GAUGAACGCUGGCGGCGUGCUUAACACAUGCAAGUCGAACGGAGCACUUUAUUUGAUUUCCUUCGGGACUGAUUAUUUUGUGACUGAGUGGCGGACGGGUGAGUAACGCGUGGGUAACCUGCCUUGUACAGGGGGAUAACAGUUGGAAACGGCUGCUAAUACCGCAUAAGCGCACAGCAUCGCAUGAUGCAGUGUGAAAAACUCCGGUGGUAUAAGAUGGACCCGCGUUGGAUUAGCUAGUUGGUGAGGUAACGGCCCACCAAGGCGACGAUCCAUAGCCGACCUGAUAGGGUGACCGGCCACAUUGGGACUGAGACACGGCCCAAACUCCUACGGGAAGCAGCAGUGGGGAAUAUUGCACAAUGGGCGAAAGCCUGAUGCAGCGACGCCGCGUGAGCGAAGAAGUAUUUCGGUAUGUAAAGCUCUAUCAGCAGGGAAGAUAAUGACGUUACCUGACGAAGAAGCACCGGCUAAAUACGUG